RNAcentral lists this ribosomal RNA (171 nucleotides) under Thalassobathia pelagica (pelagic brotula). RNAcentral describes it as "partial 12S rRNA". The record is from RNAcentral. Lineage: Eukaryota; Metazoa; Chordata; Actinopteri; Ophidiiformes; Ophidiidae.
CACCGCGGUUAUACGAGCAGGCCCAAGUUGAUAAACACCGGCGUAAAGCGUGGUUAAGGAACUAUUUAAACUAAAGUCGAACACCCUCCGGGCUGUUAUACGCAUCCGAGGGCAUGAAGAACCACCACGAAAGUGACUUUAUUCUGACCUGAACCCACGAAAGCUAAGACA